UGCAUUCGAAACUGGCAGGCUAGAGUCUUGUAGAGGGGGGUAGAAUUCCAGGUGUAGCGGUGAAAUGCGUAGAGAUCUGGAGGAAUACCGGUGGCGAAGGCGGCCCCCUGGACAAAGACUGACGCUCAGGUGCGAAAGCGUGGGGAGCAAACAGGAUUAGAUACCCUGGUAGUCCACGCCGUAAACGAUGUCGAUUUGGAGGUUGUGCCCUUGAGGCGUGGCUUCCGGAGCUAACGCGUUAAAUCGACCGCCUGGGGAGUACGGCCGCAAGGUUAAAACUCAAAUGAAUUGACGGGGGCCCGCACAAGCGGUGGAGCAUGUGGUUUAAUUCGAUGCAACGCGAAGAACCUUACCUGGUCUUGACAUCCACAGAACUUAGCAGAGAUGCUUUGGUGCCUUCGGGAACUGUGAGACAGGUGCUGCAUGGCUGUCGUCAGCUCGUGUUGUGAAAUGUUGGGUUAAGUCCCGCAACGAGCGCAACCCUUAUCCUUUGUUGCCAGCGGUCCGGCCGGGAACUCAAAGGAGACUGCCAGUGAUAAACUGGAGGAAGGUGGGGAUGACGUCAAGUCAUCAUGGCCCUUACGACCAGGGCUACACACGUGCUACAAUGGCAUAUACAAAGAGAAGCGACCUCGCGAGAGCAAGCGGACCUCAUAAAGUAUGUCGUAGUCCGGAUUGGAGUCUGCAACUCGACUCCAUGAAGUCGGAAUCGCUAGUAAUCGUAGAUCAGAAUGCUACGGUGAAUACGUUCCCGGGCCUUGUACACACCGCCCGUCACACCAUGGGAGUGGGUUGCAAAAGAAGUAGGUAGCUUAACCUUCGGGAGGGCGCUUACCACUUUGUGAUUCAUGACUGGGGUGAAGUCGUAACAAGGUAACCGUAGGGGAACCUGCGGUUGGAUCACCUCCUUACCUUAAAGAA
RNAcentral lists this ribosomal RNA (921 nucleotides) under Klebsiella pneumoniae. RNAcentral describes it as "bacterial SSU rRNA". It matches the Rfam family "Bacterial small subunit ribosomal RNA", at positions 622 to 1533 of the family's 1533-position model. Lineage: Bacteria; Pseudomonadati; Pseudomonadota; Gammaproteobacteria; Enterobacterales; Enterobacteriaceae. The record is from RNAcentral.